CUCAAAGCAGUGAGAGCAAAUCCUCUGCCCUUGUCCAAAAGCACUGAGACGAGAAAUGCAGGCUCUCAAAUUCCCUCUGGAUUUUCAGACCAGGUGUCUCCGACCAUGCCAGGGGUGAUGUUUGGAGCUGAUGGUCAUUAUCUUCUGUGUAUCUUCUGUGCUACUCCCAAUCUGUUGAGAUGUUAAGCUCAUCAGGCCUCACCUGGUGGAACAAUGUCCUAGAAAGAAACUUCCAUUCCCUUCCCCUGAGGCAAAGGCACACAUAGAUUGGACUUGAUGAUCUCAAAGGUCUUUUCCAGCCUAGUUCAUGUGAAACAUUAGUCAGUUCUGUGAAAACUGACUAAAGUUACAUUAAAAAAUUUUACAUUUCA
Long non-coding RNA from Corvus hawaiiensis (hawaiian crow), 371 nucleotides. RefSeq lists it as uncharacterized. Lineage: Eukaryota; Metazoa; Chordata; Aves; Passeriformes; Corvidae. The record is from RefSeq and is a predicted model, not a curated record. The transcript is spliced from 2 exons.